This 731-nucleotide ribosomal RNA is filed under the name Paenibacillus dendritiformis. RNAcentral describes it as "bacterial SSU rRNA". It matches the Rfam family "Bacterial small subunit ribosomal RNA", at positions 798 to 1533 of the family's 1533-position model. The record is from RNAcentral. Lineage: Bacteria; Bacillati; Bacillota; Bacilli; Caryophanales; Paenibacillaceae.
GCCCGGAAAUGAAUGCUAGGUGGUAGGGGUUUCGAUACCCUUGGUGGCGAAGUUAACACAUUAAGCAGUCCGCCUGGGGAGUACGGGCGCCAGAGUGAAACUCAAAGGAAUUGACGGGGACCCGCACAAGCAGUGGAAUAUGUGGUUUAAUUCCAAUCCACGCGAAAAACCUUACCAGGUCUUGACAUCCCUCUGACCGUCCUAGAGAUAGGGCUUCCCUUCGGGGCACAGGUGACAGGUGGUGCAUGGUUGUCGUCAGCUCGUGUCGUGAGAUGUUGGGUUAAGUCCCGCAACGAGCGCAACCCUUAACUUUAUUUGCCAGCAUUGAGUUGGGCACUCUAUAGUGACUGCCGGUGACCAACCGGAGGAAGGUGGGGAUGACGUCCAAUCAUCACUGCCCCUUAUGACCUGGGCUACACACGUACUACAAUGGCUGGUACAACGGGAAGCGAAUCCGCGAGGUGGAACGAAUCCUAAAAAGCCAGUCUCAGUUCCGAAUGGAGGCUGCAACUCGCCUGCCUGAAGUCCGAAUUGCUAUUAAUCGCGGAUCACCAUGCCGCGGUGAAUACGUUCCCGGGUCUUGUACACACCGCCCGUCACACCACGAGAGUUUACAACACCCGAAGUCGGUGGGGUAACCGCAAGGAGCCAGCCGCCGAACGUGGGGUAGAUGAUUGGGGUGAAGUAUAAGAGGAGCGGGCCAAAAAAAAAAAGCCCCCCCCGAACCAAAA